UACGUAGGGUCCGAGCGUUGUCCGGAAUUACUGGGCGUAAAGAGCUCGUAGGUGGUUUGUCGCGUUGUUCGUGAAAACUCACAGCUCAACUGUGGGCGUGCGGGCGAUACGGGCAGACUAGAGUACUGCAGGGGAGACUGGAAUUCCUGGUGUAGCGGCGGAAUGCGCAGAUAUCAGGAGGAACACCGGUGGCGAAGGCGGGUCUCUCGGCAGUAACUGACGCUGAGGAGCGAAAGCGUGGGGAGCGAACAGG
RNAcentral lists this ribosomal RNA (253 nucleotides) under uncultured bacterium. RNAcentral's name for it is "partial 16S ribosomal RNA". It matches the Rfam family "Bacterial small subunit ribosomal RNA", at positions 524 to 776 of the family's 1533-position model. The record is from RNAcentral.